AUCACUCCCUCAUCCCUCCUGUUGCAGGACAUGGCCAGGGCUAGGAAGAAUGACGCUGUGCUUUUAUUGCCCCUCUUGGCAGAAAAGGACCUUGGCUCCUUCAGUGUUUGCCAACCCAGGGAGUCAGACCCCAGCCUCCAAUUCUUCCUCCUUUUAGCUCCCCAGCUCUGAUCCCCGGGCUCAGCAGAGUCCUACACCAGCCGUCCAUCAGACUCUGAUGUAUCUCUGGAGGAGGACCGGGAAGCCUUAAGGAAGGAAGCAGAGCGCCAGGCAUUAGCGCAGCUCGAGAAGGCCAAGACCAAGCCAGUGGCAUUUGCCGUGCGGACAAAUGUCGGCUACAAUCCGUCUCCAGGGGAUGAGGUGCCUGUGCAGGGAGUGGCCAUCACCUUCGAGCCCAAAGACUUCCUGCACAUCAAGGAGAAAUACAAUAAUGACUGGUGGAUCGGACGGCUGGUGAAGGAGGGCUGUGAGGUUGGCUUCAUUCCCAGCCCCGUCAAACUGGACAGCCUUCGCCUGCUGCAGGAACAGAAGCUGCGCCAGAACCGCCUCAGCUCCAGCAAAUCAGGCGAUAACUCCAGUUCCAGUCUG
RNAcentral lists this small RNA (588 nucleotides) under Pongo abelii (Sumatran orangutan). RNAcentral describes it as "processed transcript". Lineage: Eukaryota; Metazoa; Chordata; Mammalia; Primates; Hominidae. The record is from RNAcentral.